Molecule: microRNA precursor, 205 nt
Filed under: Oryza nivara
Lineage: Eukaryota; Viridiplantae; Streptophyta; Magnoliopsida; Poales; Poaceae
Description: MIR812 microRNA precursor family
Rfam family: MIR812 microRNA precursor family
Source: Rfam by way of RNAcentral
AAUAAAUAUAGUUUUACACUGUUCACAUUCAAUGUUUGACCGUUCAUCUUAGUUAAAAAAAAUUUAUGAUUAGUAUUUUUAUUGCCAUUAGAUGAUAAAACAUAAAUAGUACUUUAUGCGUAACUAAAUAUUUUUUAAAUUUUUCACAAAUAUUUUAAAUAAGACGGACAGUCAAACGUUGGGCACGGAUAUCGCUGUAUUUAUU